UACGUAGGGUGCAAGCGUUGUCCGGAAUUAUUGGGCGUAAAGAGCUCGUAGGCGGUUUGUUGCGUCGGCUGUGAAAUCCCGAGGCUCAACCUCGGGUCUGCAGUCGAUACGAGCAAACUAGAGUGUUGCAGGGGAGACUGGAAUUCCUGGUGUAGCGGUGAAAUGCGCAGAUAUCAGGAGGAACACCAGUGGCGAAGGCGGGUCUCUGGGGCAACAACUGACGCUGAGGAGCGAAAGCGUGGGGAGCGAACAGG
RNAcentral lists this ribosomal RNA (254 nucleotides) under uncultured bacterium. RNAcentral describes it as "partial 16S ribosomal RNA". It matches the Rfam family "Bacterial small subunit ribosomal RNA", at positions 524 to 776 of the family's 1533-position model. The record is from RNAcentral.